GGACCGGAGAUGUCACUAUGCAUGUGGAUCCUUUGAGAGCUUGGCUGGCCGGACCUAACGCGUUAAUUCGACCGCCUGGGGAGUACGGCCGCAAGGUUAAAACUCAAAUGAAUUGACGGGGGCCCGCACAAGCGGUGGAGCAUGUGGUUUAAUUCGAAGCAACGCGAAGAACCUUACCUGGCCUUGACAUGCAGAGAACUUUCCAGAGAUGGAUUGGUGCCUUCGGGAACUCUGACACAGGUGCUGCAUGGCUGUCGUCAGCUCGUGUCGUGAAAUGUUGGGUUAAGUCCCGCAACGAGCGCAACCCUUGUCCUUAGUUGCCAGCACGUUAUGGUGGGCACUCUAAGGAAACUGCCGGUGACAAACCGGAGGAAGGGGGGGAUGACGUCAAGUCAUCAGGGCCCUUACAGCCUGGGCUACACACGUGCUACAAUGGUCGGUACAAAAGGUUGCCACCCCGCGAGGUGGAGCUAAUCUCAAAAAACCGAUCGUAUUCCGGAUCGAAGUCUGCAACUCGACUGCUUGAAGUCGGAAUCGCUAGUAAUCGCGAAUCAAAAUGUCGCGGUGAAUACGUUCCCGGGCCUUGUACACACCGCCCGUCACACCAUGGGAGUGGGUUGCACCAGAAGUAGCUAGUCUAACCUUCGGGAGGACGGUUACCACUGUGUGAUUCAUGACUGGGGUGAAUCUCAAGGGGGAACCACACA
RNAcentral lists this ribosomal RNA (707 nucleotides) under Pseudomonas sp. RNAcentral's name for it is "bacterial SSU rRNA". It matches the Rfam family "Bacterial small subunit ribosomal RNA", at positions 797 to 1506 of the family's 1533-position model. Lineage: Bacteria; Pseudomonadati; Pseudomonadota; Gammaproteobacteria; Pseudomonadales; Pseudomonadaceae. The record is from RNAcentral.